UAGACAACCUGCCUUCAGGAUGGGGACAACAGACGGAAACGACUGCUAAUACCGAAUAAGUUCCAAGAGCCGCAUGGCCCAUGGAAGAAAAGGUGGCCUCUACCUGUAAGCUAUCGCCUGAAGAGGGGUUUGCGUCUGAUUAGCUGGUUGGAGGGGUAACGGCCCACCAAGGCGACGAUCAGUAGCCGGUCUGAGAGGAUGAACGGCCACACUGGAACUGAGACACGGUCCAGACUCCUACGGGAGGCAGCAUG
Molecule: ribosomal RNA, 254 nt
Filed under: uncultured bacterium
Lineage: Bacteria
Description: partial 16S ribosomal RNA
Rfam family: Bacterial small subunit ribosomal RNA
Source: RNAcentral